Molecule: unclassified non-coding RNA, 245 nt
Filed under: uncultured fungus
Lineage: Eukaryota; Fungi
Description: sequence contains ITS1
Source: RNAcentral
GUAUUCGUUGCGCUUGUUAGACGCUUCGUGUGUACAUUCCAUGUGACUGCUGGUGUGUGUGAAAUACUCGUAGACGAGGGCAUUCGCGGCCAACGAGGGCCUCGUGAUCAUCCCAGGCUACAGGUUGUGCACAGGUGUUGGAGGUGGAUGCGAUCCGGGCGUGCACGUGUGCCCCGGGGGGCCAGCUACAACCCUUCACGGCAAACGUUUCAUUAAUGAUCCUUCCGCAGGUUCACCUACGGAAA